UUACGGUAUAUAAUCAAAUAGCUGGACUCAGAGCCCUCGGAGGUAAACACUCUGGCCUGAACAUUAUUCUUCUGCGACCUCUUGAUAAACAUUCUCAGUGAGGUGUCUAAUAACAGGAAGAGUUCUUCUUCAGCAUAGUGAGGUGUCUAAUAACAGGAAGAGUUCUUCUUCAGCAUAGUGAGGUGUCUAAUAACAGGAAGAGUUCCUCUUCAGCACAGUGAAGUGUCUAAUAACAGGAAGAGUUCUUCUUCAGCACAGUGAAGUGUCUAAUAACAGGAAGAGUUCUUCUUCAGCACAGUGAAGUGUCUAAUAACAGGAAGAGUUCUUCUUCAGCACAGUGAGGUGUCUUCUGGAUGAUGUGCAAG
Long non-coding RNA from Clupea harengus (Atlantic herring), 365 nucleotides. NCBI's taxonomy places the organism in Eukaryota, Metazoa, Chordata, Actinopteri, Clupeiformes, Clupeidae. The record is from Ensembl.